CCUACGGGAGGCAGCAGUGAGGAAUAUUGGUCAAUGGGCGCGAGCCUGAACCAGCCAAGCAGCGUGAGGGAGGAAUGCGCUGAGCGUUGCAGACCUCUUUUACAGAGGAAUAAAAGGCGGUACGUGUCCGGUUUUGAGGGUCCCUUGAGAAAAAGGAUCGGCUAACUCCGUGCCAGCAGCCGCGGUAAUACGGAGGAUCCGAGCGUUAUCCGGAUUUAAUGGGUUUAAAGGGAGCGUAGAUGGGUCUUUAAGUCAGUUGUGAAAGUUUGCGGCCCAACCGCAACGAUGCAUUCGAUACUGGGAGCCUUGAGUACAGCUGAGGUAGGCGGAAUGCGUGGUGUAGCGGUGAAAUGCGUAGAUAUCACGAAGAACCCCGAUUGCGAAGGCAGCGUGCUGAGCUGCCACUGACGCUGAGGCACGAAAGCGCGGGGAUCAAACAGGAUUAGAUACCCGUGUAGUC
Molecule: ribosomal RNA, 460 nt
Filed under: uncultured bacterium
Lineage: Bacteria
Description: partial 16S ribosomal RNA
Rfam family: Bacterial small subunit ribosomal RNA
Source: RNAcentral